RNAcentral lists this ribosomal RNA (377 nucleotides) under uncultured bacterium. RNAcentral describes it as "bacterial SSU rRNA". It matches the Rfam family "Bacterial small subunit ribosomal RNA", at positions 523 to 898 of the family's 1533-position model. The record is from RNAcentral.
AUACGUAGGGUGCAAGCGUUGUCCGGAAUCAUUGGGCGUAAAGCGCGCGUAGGCGGCCCGAUAAGUCCGCUGUAAAAGUCAACGGCUCAACUGUUGAAAGCCGGUGGAUACUGUCGGGCUAGAGUACGGAAGAGGCAAGUGGAACUCCUGGUGUAGCGGUGGAAUGCGCAGAUAUCAGGAAGAACACCUAUAGCGAAGGCAGCUUGCUGGGACGUUACUGACGCUGAGGCGCGAAAGCGUGGGGAGCGAACAGGAUUAGAUACCCUGGUAGUCCACGCCGUAAACGAUGACAACUAGGUGUGGGAGGUGUCGACUCCUCCCGUGCCGUCGCUAACGCAUUAAGUUGUCCGCCUGGGGAGUACGGCCGCAAGGCUAAA